GACGAACGCUGGCGGCGUGCUUAACACAUGCAAGUCGAACGGAAAGGCCCUGCUUUUGUGGGGUGCUCGAGUGGCGAACGGGUGAGUAACACGUGAGUAACCUGCCCUUGACUUUGGGAUAACUUCAGGAAACUGGGGCUAAUACCGGAUAGGAGCUCCUGCUGCAUGGUGUGGGUUGGAAAGUUUCGGCGGUUGGGGAUGGACUCGCGGCUUAUCAGCUUGUUGGUGGGGUAGUGGCUUACCAAGGCUUUGACGGGUAGCCGGCCUGAGAGGGUGACCGGCCACAUUGGGACUGAGGUACGGCCCAGACUCCUACGGGAGGCAGCAGUGGGGAAUAUUGCACAAUGGGCGGAAGCCUGAUGCAGCAACGCCGCGUGCGGGAUGACGGCCUUCGGGUUGUAAACCGCUUUCGCCUGUGACGAAGCGUGAGUGACGGUAAUGGGUAAAGAAGCACCGGCUAACUACGUG
Molecule: ribosomal RNA, 468 nt
Filed under: uncultured bacterium
Lineage: Bacteria
Description: partial 16S ribosomal RNA
Rfam family: Bacterial small subunit ribosomal RNA
Source: RNAcentral